This 532-nucleotide long non-coding RNA is filed under the name Homo sapiens (human). RNAcentral describes it as "HSALNT0052950". The record is from RNAcentral. Lineage: Eukaryota; Metazoa; Chordata; Mammalia; Primates; Hominidae.
CUAUGAUUUGGGGGUACACUGCUGUGGGCAAACAAUAAUGAAGGUCACUGAAUCAAUUCUGGACUUUGGGCAGAAGGCUAAGAGAUAUUAUGGUGCCCAUUGUGAAAAUAAAUUAUUUGGUUUGGGCAUAGCUGAAUACACUGUGGGACUGCACGCCAUUCAAAGAAUCUAUUCUAUUCUUUUUCCUAAGACAGAUAUGACAGCAACACUGCACCUUAGACUUGGGUGCCAAGUGGUCUGAGAUCAGAUUGUUCAGCAAAGUGCUAAGAAUUGCCAGGCUUCAAGCAGUCCAUGUAGAAAAUGUGGGAGUUCUGGUCCUGUAGGACUUGAGUUUGGGCACAGCUCUUCCCCCCGGGAGGAGAAGACCAAAACAUUCAUACAAGGCAACCUCGGGGAGCUCUGAGGCACUGAAUAUAGAAUGGCCUGGAAACUUGACUUGUUAACAACCAAUCAAAGGAGAAAUUAAUCUUUCAGUGAUAACUGGAUGAAUAUAAGAACACAGAAAAAAAGUGUCUGCCUGGCUGAGGAUGUG